UUUAUUUCGGUAAAUCCUUAGUGGCGAACGGGUGAGUAACGCGUGGGCAACCUGCCCUUCAGAUGGGGACAACAUCCCGAAAGGGGUGCUAAUACCGAAUACGAUCGUUUUCCCGCAUGGGGAUGCGAUGAAAGAUGGCCUCUAUUUAUAAGCUAUCGCUGAAGGAUGGGCCUGCGUCUGAUUAGCUAGUUGGUGGGGUAACGGCCUACCAAGGCGAUGAUCAGUAGCCGGUCUGAGAGGAUGAACGGCCACAUUGGGACUGAGACACGGCCCAAACUCCUACGGGAGGCAGCAGUGGGGAAUAUUCCGCAAUGGACGAAAGUCUGACGGAGCAACGCCGCGUGAGUGAUGAAGGUUUUCGGACUGUAAAGCUCUGUUGUUCAGGACGAAAGUGCCUGUUGCGAACAGUUACAGGUAUUGACGGUACUGAACGAGGAAGCCACGGCUAACUACGUGCCAGCAGCCGCGGUAAUACGUAGGUGGCAAGCGUUGUCCGGAAUUAUUGGGCGUAAAGAGCAUGUAGGCGGGAAUCUAAGUCUGUUGUGAAAAUGCGGGGCUCAACCCCGUAUGGCGAUGGAAACUGGAUUUCUUGAGUGCAGGAGAGGAAAGGGGAAUUCCCAGUGUAGCGGUGAAAUGCGUAGAUAUUGGGAGGAACACCAGUGGCGAAGGCGCCUUUCUGGACUGUGUCUGACGCUGAGAUGCGAAAGCCAGGGUAGCGAACGGGAUUAGAUACCCCGGUAGUCCUGGCCGUAAACGAUGGGUACUAGGUGUAGGGGGUAUCGACCCCUCCUGUGCCGGAG
Molecule: ribosomal RNA, 800 nt
Filed under: uncultured Bacillota bacterium
Lineage: Bacteria; Bacillati; Bacillota
Description: bacterial SSU rRNA
Rfam family: Bacterial small subunit ribosomal RNA
Source: RNAcentral